GUUAGUAGCUGUUAAGUAUUUGAUUACUCCUUUCCUACAAAAAAGCAUUUCAAACCCAAAGGGAAUAUGGCUCAUUUAUUUGCUGAGUGGGACUGGAGGCCCAUAGCCGCAGAAGAUCCUGGCCCCACAGCAGCAGAGAGCAAGCUCAGAGUGCUGUCAGGUCUCUCCUGCUGCCUCUCGCCAUGAUGAUGUAGUGGAAAAAUGGUCAACAAAGCUAUUUCCUACUGUGAGCUAAAUGCCCAUCAUGGGAAGUCCCAGGUGAUACAUCCUCUUCGCAGACAGCAGAAAAACAGCAGAUUUGUGAUUUAAUUGGGAGUUUUCUGGGAUCGAACAGUGGCUUCGUUUACAGACGUGACAGCUUGAGCCGGAGGGUGCCAGCCAGUGCCAUGAUGUGACCAAGGCCCUCAACAGCAGAGCCGCAAGGGAGCAGGAGCCUUGGUCCCUGAGGACAUGCUGGAGCUAACUUGGGAAUCCUGAGGUGGCCACCUCCAAAAUUUUACAUGAAAGAGAAAAGUAAACAUCUAACUUGCUUAAGCUGCUAUUGUUUUGGGGUUUGUCAUUUACAGCCAAACCUAAUCCUCAUUAAAAUAGUG
This is a long non-coding RNA of Pan troglodytes (chimpanzee), 593 nucleotides long. RefSeq lists it as uncharacterized. The record is from RefSeq and is a predicted model, not a curated record. Lineage: Eukaryota; Metazoa; Chordata; Mammalia; Primates; Hominidae. The transcript has 3 exons.